UAGUACGGCGAGUGAAGAGGGAAGAGCCCAAGAUUGAAAGCUGGCGUCUUCGGCGUCCGCAUUGUAAUCUCAAGAAGUGUUUUCCGCUUCGGACCAAGCCUAAGUCCCCUGGAAAGGGGCAUCAUAGAGGGUGAUAAUCCCGUACAUGGCUUGGAGCGCCCGAGGCUCUGUGAUACGCUUUCUAAGAGUCGAGUUGUUUGGGAAUGCAGCUCAAAAUGGGUGGUAAAUGCCAUCUAAGGCUAAAUAUUGGGGAGAGACCGAUAGCGAACAAGUACAGUGAUGGAAAGAUGAAAAGAACUUUGAAAAGAGAGUUAAACAGUACGUGAAAUUGCCAAAAGGGAAGGGUAGGAGGUCAGAGAUGCGGCCUGGGAUUCAGCCUUGCUUUUGCUUGGUGUUUUUCCCAGAUUGCAGGCCAACGUCGGUUUUGGGCACUGGAGAAGGGUAGGAGGAACGUGGCACCCCUCGGGGUGUGUUAUAGCCUCCUACUGGAUACAGCGACCGAGACCGAGGACAGCAGCGUACUCGCAAGAGCGGGCCUUCGGGCACCUUUACGCUUAGGGCGUUGGCAUAAUGGCCCUCUACCACCCGUCUUGA
RNAcentral lists this ribosomal RNA (594 nucleotides) under uncultured Pseudozyma. Its description in RNAcentral is "eukaryotic LSU rRNA". It matches the Rfam family "Eukaryotic large subunit ribosomal RNA", at positions 81 to 657 of the family's 3401-position model. Lineage: Eukaryota; Fungi; Basidiomycota; Ustilaginomycetes; Ustilaginales; Ustilaginaceae. The record is from RNAcentral.